Molecule: ribosomal RNA, 253 nt
Filed under: uncultured bacterium
Lineage: Bacteria
Description: partial 16S ribosomal RNA
Rfam family: Bacterial small subunit ribosomal RNA
Source: RNAcentral
UACAGAGGGUGCAAACGUUGUUCGGAAUUACUGGGCGUAAAGCGUGUGUAGGCGGCUUCGUAAGUCGGGUGUGAAAGCCCCGGGCUCAACCUGGGAAGUGCAUUCGAUACUGCGAAGCUUGAGUAUCGGAGAGGUUGGUAGAAUUCUCGGUGGAGAGGUGAAAUUCGUAGAUAUCGAGGGGAAUACCAGUGGCGAAGGCGGCCAACUGGACGAAUACUGACGCUGAGACACGAAAGCGUGGGGAGCAAACAGG